ACGGAACGAUUUAUUAAAACAUGGGCUGGUACGUCUGUGUGUCCGCUCGGUACUUAAUGGAGAAAACACUAGCCUACGUCAAUCUACUAUCCCCCGUAGUACAAAAGUUGACCUAUUAUAUUCUGCGUGAGAAAUAAAUAUUCCAAACAUAGUCUGGGACAGUUGUGGGAUGCGAUAGAUCCCCAAAUGAAUACAACCACUAGUAGUGGUAGUGACUGGUUAUAGUAGUGGUAGUGAGUGACUGGUUAUAGUAGUGGUAGUGAGUGACUGGUUAUAGUAGUGGUAGUGACUGGUUAUAGUAGUGGUAGUGACUGGUUAUAGUCAGUGGUAGUGACUGGUUAUAGUUAUAGUAGUGGUAGUGACUGGUUAUAGUAGUGACUGGUUAUAGUAGUGGUAGUGACUGGUUAUAGUAGUGGUAGUGAUGUUGUGUCUGUGUCCAAACAUUAUGCUUUAUAUUCAGGACAAAGUUAAUAGCCACAGCCACAACAUGGAUAAUCCUGAAUGAAUCGUGAAUAAUGACUGAGAAAGUUAGAGGGUCAAAGUUCAUACCUCCAAGACAUGCUAACCUCCCCUGUUAUUGGUAAUGGUGAGAGGUUAGAUCAUACCUCCAAGACAUGCUAACCUCCCCUGUUAUUGGUAAUGGUGAGAGGUUAGAUCAUACCUCCAAGACAUGCUAACCUCCCCUGUUAUUGGUAAUGGUGAGAGGUUAGAUCAUACCUCCAAGACAUGCUAACCUCCCCUGUUAUUGGUAAUGGUGAGAGGUUAGAUCAUACCUCCAAGACAUGCUAACCUCCCCUGUUAUUGGUAAUGGUGAGAGGUUAGAUCAUACCUCCAAGACAUGCUAACCUCCCCUGUUAUUGGUAAUGGUGAGAGGUUAGAUCAUACCUCCAAGACAUGCUAACCUCCCCUGUUAUUGGUAAUGGUGAGAGGUUAGAUCAUACCUCCAAGACAUGCUAACCUCCCCUGUUAUUGGUAAUGGUGAGAGGUUAGAUCAUACCUCCAAGACAUGCUAACCUCCCCUGUUAUUGGUAAUGGUGAGAGGUUAGUUCAUCAUAAAUCACCUGUACAGCAGGUUUGAAACCUAGGACGGCUCUUAACAGAGUAAUACAAACUUCGGUAAACACUUAAAAAGUCUGUGGAUAUAAAGCAUUUUUACACGUUAUACGCAUAGACACACUUGCCAUAAUUACAAUUCACAACACAAUCGCAGGUUAAUAAUAUAUAUUAAUUCCCAGACAAAAAUAAAUGGAUUUGAUCCCGUUCAGACAGGGACCUUGUACUGUGGGGAAAUACCAGGUCAUCAUCACUACAGCACCACACUACAGCACCACACUACACUACAGCACCACAAUACAGCACCACUACACUACAGCACCACCACACUACAGCACCACCACACUACAGCACCA
This is a long non-coding RNA of Oncorhynchus keta (chum salmon), 1409 nucleotides long. RefSeq lists it as uncharacterized. Lineage: Eukaryota; Metazoa; Chordata; Actinopteri; Salmoniformes; Salmonidae. The record is from RefSeq and is a predicted model, not a curated record. The transcript is spliced from 4 exons.